Molecule: ribosomal RNA, 233 nt
Filed under: Escherichia coli
Lineage: Bacteria; Pseudomonadati; Pseudomonadota; Gammaproteobacteria; Enterobacterales; Enterobacteriaceae
Description: partial 23S ribosomal RNA
Rfam family: Bacterial large subunit ribosomal RNA
Source: RNAcentral
GACUAAGGUUUCCUGGGGAAGGCUCGUUCGCCCAGGGUUAGUCGGGACCUAAGCCGAGGCCGAUAGGCGUAGGCGAUGGAUAACAGGUUGAUAUUCCUGUACCCGUUGUUUUUGUUUGAGCAAUGGAGGGACGCAGGAGGCUAAGGAAUGCAGACGAUCGGAAAUGUCUGUCCAAGCAGUAAGUCUGAAGAGGAGUCAAAUGCUUCUUUUCUUAAGGACAAGCUGUGAUGGGG